AUGACUUUGAUCUCCAUCCUCAUCUGGACUGUCCUCUGCUGCUGCUUCACAGAGUCCAGAGGCCAGGUCACAGUGACUCAGCCUGAAGCAGUGAGCUCUGCUCUGGGAGGCUCCGUCACCAUCAGCUGUAGAACCAGUCAGGAUGUCUUUGUUUGGAACAACAACCACUAUUUAGCCUGGUACCAACAGAGACAUGGAGACAAACCUAAAUUGAUUAUUUAUGAUUCUUCCACUCGAGUAUCAGGGAUUCCAGCUCGUUUUACAGGCAGUGGAUCAAACUCUGACUUCACUCUGACCAUCAGUGGAGUCCAGGCUGAAGAUGCAGCAGUUUACUACUGUCAGAGUCAACACUAUAUCAACAGUCAGUGGGUGCUCACACAGUGAAAAAGCAUCAUACAAAAACCUCCCUCAGUCAGACUGAACAGAAACUGAAGUGACUGCUGCAGCUGGAAACUACUGCAGAGACUGAUACACUUCACUGAGGACACACACACACACACACACAAAUGUGAAUAUAUAUCCAUAUACAAAGACUUUAACAUACAAAUAAUGUGUUAUAUUUUCGUUCACGCCAUCAAUAAAUCAGUCUCUAUGCUGAUGACUUCUUGUUAUACAUCCCAAAAAUUCUCAUUUUUCCUUCUUUCAUUUACUAAUCAGACCAGACUUUAAAGCAGGCUUUAUGGCUGCAUUCUCUAAUUUCUGAUGUCCAUUA
This is a non-coding RNA of Toxotes jaculatrix (banded archerfish), 712 nucleotides long. NCBI's taxonomy places the organism in Eukaryota, Metazoa, Chordata, Actinopteri, Toxotidae. The record is from the annotation of a RefSeq genome assembly.